GAUGAACGCUGGCGGCGUGCCUAAUACAUGCAAGUCGAGCGAACGGACGAGAAGCUUGCUUUUCUGAUGUUAGCGGCGGACGGGUGAGUAACACGUGGAUAACCUACCUAUAAGACUGGGAUAACUUCGGGAAACCGGAGCUAAUACCGGAUAAUAUUUUGAACCGCAUGGUUCAAAAGUGAAAGACGGUCUUGCUGUCACUUAUAGAUGGAUCCGCGCUGCAUUAGCUAGUUGGUAAGGUAACGGCUUACCAAGGCAACGAUGCAUAGCCGACCGGAGAGGCGGAUAGGCCACACGAGAGCGGGACCGCGGUCCAGACUCCUGCGAGACGCAGCAGUAGGGUAUCGGCCGCAGUGGGCGAGAGCCUGGCGGAACGACGCCGCGUGAGUGAUGAAGGUGUUCGGAUCGUAAAACUCUGUUAUUAGGGAAGAACAGAUGUGUAAGUAACUGUGCACAUCUUGACGGUACCUAAUCAGAAAGCCACGGCUAACUACGUG
Molecule: ribosomal RNA, 497 nt
Filed under: uncultured bacterium
Lineage: Bacteria
Description: partial 16S ribosomal RNA
Rfam family: Bacterial small subunit ribosomal RNA
Source: RNAcentral